Molecule: ribosomal RNA, 497 nt
Filed under: uncultured bacterium
Lineage: Bacteria
Description: partial 16S ribosomal RNA
Rfam family: Bacterial small subunit ribosomal RNA
Source: RNAcentral
GAUGAACGCUGGCGGCGUGCCUAAUACAUGCAAGUCGAGCGAACAGAUGAGGAGCUUGCUCCUCUGACGUUAGCGGCGGACGGGUGAGUAACACGUGGAUAACCUACCUAUAAGACUGGGAUAACUUCGGGAAACCGGAGCUAAUACCGGAUAAUAUAUUGAACCGCAUGGUUCAAUAGUGAAAGACGGUUUUGCUGUCACUUCUAGAUGGAUCCGCGCCGCAUUAGCUAGUUGGUAAGGUAACGGCUUACCAAGGCAACGAUGCGUAGCCGACCUGAGAGGGUGAUCGGCCACGCUGGAACUGAGAGACGGCCCAGACUCCUACGGGAGGCAGCAGUAGGGAAGCUUCCGCGAUGGGCGAAAGCCUGACGGAGCAACGCCGCGUGAGUGAUGAAGGUCUUCGGAUCGGAAAACUCUGUUAUUAGGGAAGAACAAAUGUGUAAGUAACUAUGCACGUCUUGACGGUACCUAAUCAGAAAGCCACGGCUAACUACGUG